Danionella cerebrum is the source of this 72-nucleotide non-coding RNA. Lineage: Eukaryota; Metazoa; Chordata; Actinopteri; Cypriniformes; Danionidae. The record is from the annotation of a GenBank genome assembly.
GGUUCAGCAGUUUAGGGGUAUAAUGCUCGCUUUGGGUGUGAGUGGUAGAGGGUUCAAAUCCCAGAUGAGGCC